AUUGAACGCUGGCGGCAUGCCUUACACAUGCAAGUCGAACGGUAACAGGUCUUCGGAUGCUGACGAGUGGCGAACGGGUGAGUAAUACAUCGGAACGUGCCUAGUAGUGGGGGAUAACUACUCGAAAGAGUGGCUAAUACCGCAUGAGAUCUACGGAUGAAAGCAGGGGAUCGCAAGACCUUGUGCUACUAGAGCGGCCGAUGGCAGAUUAGGUAGUUGGUGGGAUAAAAGCUUACCAAGCCGACGAUCUGUAGCUGGUCUGAGAGGACGAUCGGCCACACUGGGACUGAGAAACGGCCCAGACUCCUACGGGAGGCAGCAGUGGAGAAUUUUGGACAAUGGGCGAAAGCCUGAUCCAGCAAUGCCGCGUGCAGGAUGAAGGCCUUCGGGUUGUAAACUGCUUUUGUACGGAACGAAAAGCCCCGGGUUAAUACCCUGGGGUCGUGACGGUACCGUAAGAAUAAGCACCGGCUAACUACGUGCCAGCCGCCGCCGUAA
RNAcentral lists this ribosomal RNA (498 nucleotides) under uncultured bacterium. RNAcentral's name for it is "partial 16S ribosomal RNA". It matches the Rfam family "Bacterial small subunit ribosomal RNA", at positions 30 to 523 of the family's 1533-position model. The record is from RNAcentral.